UAGUGUGGAUGACGUGUCUUAGUACCUCUGUUUUCCCAAUGCGGUGAGUGCACACAUCAGGGUUGCUCAGUAGUAAGUCACACAACUGUUGUUUCCCAUCCUCUGGUAUUUGAGCGGCUGACACUGCUCGCUCAAUGUAGUCCUGUACGCUUAAGCGUUGUGGUUGCAAGGACAGCAGAGGGGGCGGAAUGGAACUGAUGAGCGACACGUGGUGUGUGUGUAGUGCCCGGUACUGUGGGGACAAUGUAGAGAUUAGCGCACUUCCGGGUUGGAAGAAGAAGACAGCGGAUGGAUUGGCUUUGAACGUGAAAGAGUUGUCUGAGACAUUCAACUGUAUUUGGCUAUGGUAUAUGAAGUCUAGUCCCAGGACAAUUCCGUAUGCCAGUGCCACAGAUGGAAGGACAGCUACUGACAGGUCAGUCACGUUUCCAUGAACACCAAGAUCUAGAUCCAUCCAGCCAAGUGGUGUUACAAGCUCUCCAUUUGCUAGGUACAAAGAACCCUGUGUCCAUGGGUUAAGUGCUUUGGACUUCAUCACAUCGGACCACAGGUAUUCAUGUAGUAGGGUGCAGCUUGCACCAGUGUCUAGGAUAGCCUUCCCAUACCAGGAACCUAUGUUCACAGGCACGACCAGCUGUUGAGGAGCAAGGGGACCUGGCAAAUCCAUGGCGGGAGCAGUCGUGGAAGGAGAGGAGCUGGUGUUCGUGGUCCUUUUCCAAUUGGUGACCAAGACGGACAAGCUCAUCGACAUCUUUCACACGUCCUCGAAGUUGACUGGCAAGCUCAUCUUGGUAAUCUUCGGCCAGAAAUGCGGAUAGGAAAGAAGUCUUGAACUCCUCCCACGUACCAACUUGAGUACGGGUGAUUUCCCACCAGUCCCUGGCGGUACCAUGGAGAACUGUCCGGAAUGUGGCCAGAAUGUCAGCGUCUGUCAGAGGAUGCAGUGCAAUAAAGUCCUGACAUUUUGACAAAUAAAGC
This is a long non-coding RNA of Engraulis encrasicolus (European anchovy), 978 nucleotides long. RefSeq lists it as uncharacterized. NCBI's taxonomy places the organism in Eukaryota, Metazoa, Chordata, Actinopteri, Clupeiformes, Engraulidae. The transcript has 3 exons. The record is from RefSeq and is a predicted model, not a curated record.